RNAcentral lists this ribosomal RNA (449 nucleotides) under uncultured bacterium. RNAcentral describes it as "partial 16S ribosomal RNA". It matches the Rfam family "Bacterial small subunit ribosomal RNA", at positions 30 to 523 of the family's 1533-position model. The record is from RNAcentral.
AUUGAACGCUGGCGGCAUGCCUUACACAUGCAAGUCGAACGCCAUCUUCGGAUGGAGUGGCAGACGGGUGAGUAACGCGUGGAAACAUACCUUUUGCUUCGGAAUAUUCCCGGGAAACUGGGAGCAAUACCGAAUACGCCCUGAGGGGGAAAGAUUUAUCGGCAAAAGAUUGGUCCGCGUUAGAUUAGGUAGUUGGUAGGGUAAUGGCCUACCAAGCCUACGAUCUAUAGCUGGUCUGAGAGGAUGAUCAGCCACAUUGGGACUGAGACACGGCCCAAACUCCUACGGGAGGCAGCAGUGGGGAAUAUUGGACAAUGGGCGAAAGCCUGAUCCAGCCAUGCCGCGUGAAUGAUGAAGGCCUUAGGGUUGUAAAAUUCUUUCACCGGGGACGAUAAUGACGGUACCCGGAGAAGAAGCCCCGGCUAACUUCGUGCCAGCAGCCGCGGUAA